This 492-nucleotide ribosomal RNA is filed under the name uncultured bacterium. RNAcentral describes it as "partial 16S ribosomal RNA". It matches the Rfam family "Bacterial small subunit ribosomal RNA", at positions 28 to 505 of the family's 1533-position model. The record is from RNAcentral.
GACGAACGCUGGCGGCGUGCUUAACACAUGCAAGUCGAACGGUGAAGCGCCUUCCUUUUUGGUUGGUGUGGAUGAGUGGCGAACGGUUGAGUAACACUUGAGUAACCUGCCCCCUGCUUCUGGAUAACCGCAUGAAAGUGUGGCUAAUACGGGAUAUUCUGGUUCUGUCGCAUGAUGGGUCUGUGAAAGAUAUUGUUUCGGUGGGGGAUGGGCUGGCGGCCUAUCAGCUUGUUGGUGGGGUGAUGGCCUACCAAGGCGGUGACGGGUAGCCGGCCUGAGGGGGUGGGCGCUCACACUGUGACUGAGAAAAUGCCCAGACUCAUACGGGCGGCAGCAGUGCGGAAUGUUGCACAAUGGGAGAAAGCCUGAUGCAGCGACGCCGCGUGAGGGAUGGCGGCCUUCGGGUUGUGAACCUCUUUCGCCAGUGAAGCAGGCGUGCCUCGUUUGUGGGUGGGUUGACGGUAGCUGGAUAAGAAGCGCCGGAGAAAUACG